AACUGGUAAGUUAAGUAUUUAAACUGUGGGGUUCAUGUCCCCAUUAUAUACAUUUAGUGUCUGGUUAGUUG
This 71-nucleotide transfer RNA is filed under the name Moniezia benedeni. RNAcentral's name for it is "tRNA-Met". The record is from RNAcentral. Lineage: Eukaryota; Metazoa; Platyhelminthes; Cestoda; Cyclophyllidea; Anoplocephalidae.